UGCGUGCAUAGGCAACUCUGCCGUCUUU
RNAcentral lists this non-coding RNA (28 nucleotides) under Rattus norvegicus (Norway rat). Lineage: Eukaryota; Metazoa; Chordata; Mammalia; Rodentia; Muridae. The record is from RNAcentral.